RNAcentral lists this long non-coding RNA (4556 nucleotides) under Sus scrofa (pig). RNAcentral describes it as "lncRNA (ENSSSCG00035045478.1)". The record is from RNAcentral. Lineage: Eukaryota; Metazoa; Chordata; Mammalia; Artiodactyla; Suidae.
AAAUAAGAUAUUACCACUAAUGCUAGAUUGGCCAUGAUAGAUUCUGUUCCUCUUGUUUUGAAUUUUCUUUCCUUCUUUAGUCUAUUUCACAUCCAGGGAUAAUCAAUAGUUUGUUUUUCCAUGGUAAGUUACUAUCUGCUACAGUAAGAAAAUAAGUGGUGCAAAGGAAAUAUUUUGGCUCCACUGGAGUAGAGAAGGUUAGCUAAGGCCUGGGGAAUUGAGGAGCUGAGCAAAGAUAAAGUUUCACUUUACCCUGCCUCUUACUACCACUGGUAUCACAAGCUUAGGAAGUUCAAGUAGAAGCAUGCGCAGUCAGUAGGCUUGAGCUUGACAAAAGGAUUUUACAGCACUCGGCAAAAGCAAAUUUUAAUCUCAUGCAAGGUUUCCUCUAAAUGAAUGGAAAUUCAAGGUUUCGGUGAACUUUUGGCCAAUCUUAGUGAAACUGAAAUCCAGACCGCUAUCUUAACUCUCAUCUGCUUUAUCUACCUGUGCAACAAAAAAUUGUUCAUGAGUAGAAAAAGCAAUAGAAUAUACUUUUAAUACAGCAAAGCUUUUACUUCAGAGGAAAUAAUGAGUUCUGAAUUAGGUGGGUCUGGGGCUGGCAGUAUGAUUUUUCUCAUGUGCCCUGUUAGCUCUUUAGUGCUUUGGAUAAGUGAAAUGCAGGAAUGAUAGUCCUGAAUUAACUGAAUGCUAGAGAUGUUAAAGAAGCUAGCCCAUUACAGUGAACUACGCCCUGUGCUACUGAUCCUGAAGAAAGAACCAAGACUGCACCUAAGCUUCUGAGACUAAGUAUCAACCACAGCCGCAAGCAACACCACAGCUGUGACAACACAGGAUCCUUUUAAUCCAACGUGCUGGGCUAGGGAUCAAACCCAUGCCUCUGCAGCAACUGGAACCCGCUACAGUCAGACUCUUAACCCACUGCACCACAGCAAGAACUCCAAGAAUUUUAAGUUUUAAUAAUUUAGAGACUUCAGUUUCUACAAAGAAAGUUAGCUAAUUUUGGUCUUAACCUCUUUUAAAGAAUUUACAAGUGUUUAUACUUUUCAAAUGUGGGAUAUUUUUAUAUUGCUAGACUUUUAGCCUUUGGAUUAGGAAUCAGUAUUUAUUGUGUUAUACUCUGUUUAAUAACAUAAAGUUGGUAAUUACUGAUAUGAGUGAAUUUUUGCUCUGGAAUACAGAAUGGCCAUGAAGUUAAUUCUAUAUAGCCCAUCUUGUUGGUUUAGGUGGAUAUAACAGAGCCAUAGUAUAUGUACUGAGAGAAGAACCUCAUAAAGGUGAGAGCUGAACAUCCUAACUAACUAUAAAUUUACAUUCUAGUCCAAUGGAUUAAGAGAAAAAUGAAUUGAAGAAUGCAAGGGAAGGGGACAUUUUGCCUCCCUUCAGAAUCGCAGGACACUCCCUGUUACACACCUCUCCAAGCCCACUCCUACCAUUUAAUUUUGGGAGUAGCUGUUGCUAAUCUGAUUAGACUGGUUAGAGUUUAAGACAUUUAUUUGGCCAUGUGUACAAGUGAGCCUUGUCAACAUGUACUAAAAGCCAAGAAUCCAUAUUCUAGUAAUUUUAAAUUUCUUUCAUGCUGCUUACUGGAUUAAUUCAGCGAAAUCCAGUGAUAUAAUUUAUCCUGGAUUUUUCUCACUGGAUUCCUACAUGUCUGGAAAUUGUAUAGCCCUAAAAUUUCACAUUUUACUUUAAGAGAAAAUAGAGUACAGUGGUUAAGAGAGCAGGUUCUGGGGAGUUCCUGUCAUGGCUCAGGGGUAACAAAAUUGACUAGUAUUCAUGAGCACAUGGGUUUGAUCGUGGCCUCACUCAGUGGGUUAAAGAUCAGUCAUUGCUGUGAGCUGUGAUGUAGGUGGCAGAUGUGGCUCAGAUCCCACGAUGCUGCAGCCAUGGCGUAGGCUGGCAGGUACAGCUCCAAUUCGACCCCUAGCCUGGGAACUUCCAUGUGCCAUGGGCGGGGCCCUAAAAAGGCAAAAAAGAAAAAAAGAGACCAGGUUUCCUGGAUUCAAAUCUCUAUUUCUGACACUUACUACCUGAUAAAAAGCCUGGGCAACAUAAUGAACCUCCUUAUGCCUGAUUUUGCUCAUCUUAAAAUGAGGAUAAUCAUAGUAUUUCUCUUAUAGGGUUACUGUGACUAUCAAACAAAUUAUUUGUUAGAUGUUAGCUCUCAGAAUAGCCCUUUCAUAAAUGCUAAAUCAUAAUGUUAUAGUAAUACUACUUUGGAAUCAAAGUUUAAGCAAUUGAGCUUCUAUCUAAAAUUUCUGCAUUGGGGGUUACCAGGUACUAGUUAGUGCUUUCUGACAAAAAAAAGUUCAAUGCUUAAUUAUUGUUUUAAUAUGUAAAUAGAGGAGGGAGCAAAGAGGGAUGAUUGACAAGGUAGGAUUACAACAUUUCUACACCCCUAGAAAUCAGCUCACCUGUACCCCAUCUUGCCAGAGUGAAUUCACCGGGCUUUAACAUAAGCUAAUGACCUUGUCUCUAAACCUCAGCAUUGCGUAAUAGAAAGAUAAUGUGGCAUCUAUAUUAAUUAUAAUGCAUUUUAUUCAACUCAAUAUCCAAAUUAUUUUUACAUAUAACCAACAUAAAAUUAAGAUAUUUUGCAUUUUAUAUAAUGCAAUUAUUUAAAACAUAUAUAUGUAGUUUAUACUUACAGCACGUUUCAAUUUGAAAUAGCUACAUUUUAAGUGCUUGAUACUUGUAUGUGGUUAGUGGCCACUGUACUGGACAGCAAAUUCUAGAUCAUACACCUCACUUUGCCCUAAUUUCAUGCUUUAUGAUUUAUCUUUUGACUGUUAAGUCAGGUAACACAUCAGUUUUAUAUCCCUCAAUGUGAGAAAGUAGAUGCCCUAAGUAGUUUAAUAAAAUGUAUAUACUCCAAUGUUUUAGAAUAAUCUUUUCAAGUGAAUUUGGAUACACUUAUCCAUGUAUCAUGGGACUUGAGCUUCCCUGUAUAAGCACACCUUAAAGGUGCUUACAGAGCAGGGAGAACUAUUCUGAGUAACUGAAACCCCUCAAAAUCAUAGUAGUAUCUGAUGUCCAGGCUCACACAGCCAAACUCCUUCUAAAUGUACACUUGUUGAAGUUGAAUCACUGAGAGUAAAAAUAAUUUAAGUUUCAUCCUGAAGUGGAUGAACUUUGCAUCCAUUCAGUUAUGUAUUUUCACCACAGCAGAAAGUUUAUAGGAUUGCGGUAUAAGUUUUCAGAAAAUUACAUUAAAUCUUAAAUUUUGAGCAAUAACCUGACUUUACUUAAAAUCCAAACUACCCUAAAGAAAUCUGUUAAAUUUCUGGCUACAUUUCACAUUGCUAAACAUGGAUGGGCAAUCAACUUCCUAAGUCUUGGGGAUAAUUUUUUAAGAUAUCCAUAAAAUAUAGCAUUUAAAUUGGAAGUCCUCUGAAAGUGAAUGGGACAUGCUAUUAACAGUACAUAAAUUAUAAUAGUUAAAAAUGUCCCUCCCACUGAUAUAAACUAAUAUAUGUGACCACCUUAUAAAUCAUGAUAUACAUCAUGCUGUUACACAGAUGAUUUUUUAUGAAGAAAACCUUUAAAGAUAAAGGUUUAUACUAUUGACUUCUUAAAAUUCUAGAUCCAGCUUGGGGUAAUGGAUUAUAUUCAUGGAAAAUAUCAGAGGCCAGAACCAGAAAUCAGAAGAUCUCAAGGCAUCGUUUCAUCCUAACAUUAUAAACCCAGUUACAGUUGUGAUUUCUUCCCCCUCCACUCAAUUCUGAUAACAGUUUAUCUCUUUUUGAAUCCUGUAAAUGACAUGGAUGGAUUGCAGCAGGCUUAGAUUCAAAUUUUGUUUCUGCUACUUAUACAGUUGAAUGACUUUGGAUAGAUGCUUAAACUUUAGUAUGACUUAGAUGAUACUUAAUCUUUCUGAGAGUCUCCUUUUAGACCUGAGUGAGUGACAGUAUUUAUCUCACAGGAUUGACGUAUUCGUGUCAGGGGAUCACAUAUCCUACAGGCACUGUGAAAUGCAGUACAUACUGACAUCUGUAGAUGCCUAGCUGUCUUCACCACCACAUUACAAAGAAUUUUGUAUUUAAAUCCUGAUCUCUAUCCACUAUCCCUGAGUGAUGUACUGAGUCCAGGGUAUUUGAUUGUGACUCUUGGAUGAAAGUCUUCCUGACAUAUGACAACUGUUGUCUGUCUUUCUCUACCCACAGUUACUCAGAAGUUAAACCUAUGUUUUCCCCUCCCCCUUUCAAUGUUAUGUGCCUCUAACAGAUUUAAUUAAUCUCAAGUCCCCUAAACUUUACCACCUAAAUCACUAAAGAAUCUAUUCUGUCCUUUUUAGUCCCAUUGCUACUUUCUUUUUUAGACCCUCAUUUUUUUUUUUUUUUUUGGUUUUUUUGUUUGUUUGUUCAUCCUAAUUUUGACUACAUCUUCUGACUGGCCUCCCUCUCUUCAUUCUCACAAAUUAACAAUUUACUUUCUGCAGAACACUUGGUUGAUUAUCCUAAAACCUAGAUCUACUUUGUCAUUUCUACUGAUUGAAAUCCCAUAGGAGUUUUUUGAAACGUCCCAUAAAAUACCACACUCCUCAGUAUAGUAUG